GCACGGGUGGCUCAGUGGGUAGGGCAUCAGCCCCAUAUACUGAGGGUGGCGGGUUCAAACCUGGCCCCGGACA
Molecule: transfer RNA, 73 nt
Filed under: Otolemur garnettii (small-eared galago)
Lineage: Eukaryota; Metazoa; Chordata; Mammalia; Primates; Galagidae
Rfam family: tRNA
About the family: Transfer RNA (tRNA) molecules are approximately 80 nucleotides in length. Their secondary structure includes four short double-helical elements and three loops (D, anti-codon, and T loops). Further hydrogen bonds mediate the characteristic L-shaped molecular structure. tRNAs have two regions of fundamental functional importance: the anti-codon, which is responsible for specific mRNA codon recognition, and the 3' end, to which the tRNAs corresponding amino acid is attached (by aminoacyl-tRNA synthetases). tRNAs cope with the degeneracy of the genetic code in two manners: having more than one tRNA (with a specific anti-codon) for a particular amino acid; and 'wobble' base-pairing, i.e. permitting non-standard base-pairing at the 3rd anti-codon position.
Source: Rfam by way of RNAcentral